GUGCUCGCUUGGGCAGCACAUAUACUAGAAUUGGAACGAUACAGAGAUUAGCAUGGCCCCUGUGCAAGGAUGACAUGCAAUUUUUUUUAAGAUUUAUUUUAUUUUU
Ochotona princeps (American pika) is the source of this 106-nucleotide small nuclear RNA. The record is from RefSeq and is a predicted model, not a curated record. NCBI's taxonomy places the organism in Eukaryota, Metazoa, Chordata, Mammalia, Lagomorpha, Ochotonidae.